AACGAACGCUGGCGGCAUGCCUAACACAUGCAAGUCGAACGGGAAGGCCCUGCCUAGUUGGGCAGCUCGAGGGGCGAACGGGGGAGCUACACGUAGGUAAGGUACCCUUGCCUUUAGGGUGUCUUCAGAAAAGUGGGGCUAAUAGCGGAAAGGAGCUCCUGCUGCUGGGUGGGGGUUGGAAAGUUUAGGCAGUUGGGGGUGGACUCGCGGCCUAUUAGGUUGUUGGUGGGGUAGUGGCUUACCAAGGCCUUGCACGGUGGGCGGCCUGCGAGGGUGACCGGCCACACUGGGACUGGGAUGCGGCCCAGACUCGUACGGGAGGGAGCAGUGGGGAAUAUUGCACAAUGGGCGGAAGCCUGAUGCAGCCACGCCGCGUGCGGGAUGACGGCCUUCGGGUUGUAUUGCGCUUUCGCCUGUGACGAAGCGUGAGUGACGGUAAUGGGUAAAGAAGCACCGGCUAACUACGUG
This 468-nucleotide ribosomal RNA is filed under the name uncultured bacterium. Its description in RNAcentral is "partial 16S ribosomal RNA". It matches the Rfam family "Bacterial small subunit ribosomal RNA", at positions 28 to 507 of the family's 1533-position model. The record is from RNAcentral.